This 464-nucleotide ribosomal RNA is filed under the name uncultured bacterium. RNAcentral describes it as "partial 16S ribosomal RNA". It matches the Rfam family "Bacterial small subunit ribosomal RNA", at positions 28 to 506 of the family's 1533-position model. The record is from RNAcentral.
GACGAACGCUGGCGGCGUGCUUAACACAUGCAAGUCGUACGGUAAGGCCCUUUCGGGGGUACACGAGUGGCGAACGGGUGAGUAACACGUGAGUAACCUGCCCACAACUUUGGGAUAACGCUAGGAAACUGGUGCUAAUACUGGAUAUGUGCUCCUGCUGCAUGGUGGGGGUUGGAAAGCUCCGGCGGUUGUCGAUGGACUCGCGGCCUGUCAGCUUGUUGGUGGGGUAGUGGCCUACCAAGGCGGCGACGGGUAGCCGGCCUGAGAGGGUGACCGGCCACAUUGGGACUGAGAUACGGCCCAGACUCCUACGGGAGGCAGCAGUGGGGAAUAUUGCACAAUGGGCGCAAGCCUGAUGCAGCAACGCCGCGUGCGGGAUGACGGCCAUCGGGUUGUAAACCGCUUUCAGCAGGGACGAAGCUUUUUGUGACGGUACCUGCAGAAGAAGCACCGGCUAACUACGU